UGUGGAAAAUAUGUUACAAAAGAUUUUAUAGUAACAGGUGGAACAGAUCCUAAUCUUUUUCGUCUAGUGGAUCUUCAGACUACUGCUACAGCUGCCUGCAUCAAUUUUUUGCCAGGAGCAAUAUAUUGUAUUGAUAUUGGACAACCAAAAAAGAAAGAAAAGGAGAAGGAAAGAGAGCAAGUAAGAAUAAAAAGUGAUGCAUCUCUAGUACCAAAGAUUGCAUUCGUGUCAACUAAAAAACUAUACCAAGUGGAAUUUACCAGCUGAUAUUUACAUAACCCUUGUAUGAUGAUAUUUACAGUAUGGGAAAAAGAAAACAAAAUAUAUCAUUAAACAAUC
This is a long non-coding RNA of Leptinotarsa decemlineata (Colorado potato beetle), 339 nucleotides long. Lineage: Eukaryota; Metazoa; Arthropoda; Insecta; Coleoptera; Chrysomelidae. The record is from RefSeq and is a predicted model, not a curated record.